This 497-nucleotide ribosomal RNA is filed under the name uncultured bacterium. RNAcentral's name for it is "partial 16S ribosomal RNA". It matches the Rfam family "Bacterial small subunit ribosomal RNA", at positions 28 to 507 of the family's 1533-position model. The record is from RNAcentral.
GAUGAACGCUGGCGGCGUGCCUAAUACAUGCAAGUCGAGCGAACGGACGAGAAUCUUGCUUCUCUGAUGUUAGCGGCGGACGUGUGAGUAACACGUGUAUAACCUACCUUUAAUUCUGGUAUAACUUCGCGAAACCGUAUCUAAUACCGGAUAAUAUUUUGUACCUCAUGGUUCAAAAGUGAAAGACGGUCUUGCUGUCUCUUAUAGAUGGUUCCGCGCUGCAUUAGCUAGUUGGUAAGGUAACGGCUUACCAAGGCAACGAUGCAUAUCCGACAUGAGAGGGUGAUCGGGCAGACGGGAACGGAGACACGGUCAAGAGUACUACGGGAGGCAGCAGUAGGGAAUAUGCGGCAAUGGGCGAAAGAAUGACGGAGAAACGGGGAGUGAGUGAUGAAGGAGUUCGGAUCGUAAAACUCUGUUAUUAGGGAAGAAAAGAUGUGUAAGAAAAUGAGCACAAAAUGACGGUAACUAAAAAGAAAGCAACGGCUAACUACGUG